UUGGCACUUUUGGCGGCAAUUGUGCCAUAUAUAUAGAAACUCACAAAAACCAAAAUUCCACCAAACUAGAUCUAAAAUUCAGCAAGCUAAACGAUCAGAUCAGGAUUCACACGAUGAAGGUACCAAUGCAAGAAGAAGUAUAUAUAUAUAUAUAUACAAUCAAAAUUCUGCAAUUACGUGUAGAAAUGUAGAGGGUUUCUUCUGGUUUUGGUGGGAAGGAGGAGGGAGGUGGUGGGUCACAUGGAGGAGGAUUAUGACAGCUAGCAACAGGCUGUGACACAACGGUUUCACUGGGAAAAAGAUUACAAGGGUAGUUAAUUUAAAAACCGGCGGAAAUCAGAAUCAGCCCACCACGUGCCGAUGUAACUGAGCUUCCUCCAUUCUUAAAUCCUAUCUUGUUCGAUAAUAUUUCAUUAUUU
This 419-nucleotide long non-coding RNA is filed under the name Lactuca sativa (garden lettuce). RNAcentral's name for it is "long non-coding RNA (LSAT_LNC007674)". The record is from RNAcentral. Lineage: Eukaryota; Viridiplantae; Streptophyta; Magnoliopsida; Asterales; Asteraceae.